This 676-nucleotide unclassified non-coding RNA is filed under the name Hevea brasiliensis (rubber tree). The record is from RNAcentral. Lineage: Eukaryota; Viridiplantae; Streptophyta; Magnoliopsida; Malpighiales; Euphorbiaceae.
GUUCCAAACUGAAACCACAUCGCUGCACAAGGGAAAGUUUUACAAUAAUCACUUGAAGCAUGAAAUUAUGCAUCAACAGUGCAGACUCACUCAGAACCAGUCAACAAGACAUUAGAUAGGCUUAAACACGCUCAUACAAAAACUUAUAAUAAUUACAUUAAAAAAAAAAAAAAGUUUCCAGCAGUUUUUCGGCAACAUUAAAAGGGUGCUUUUAAAAGAAGAUAUUUUAUACUAAUAUAAUCCUCAUGCUUGAUUUACUUAUUCAUACUGGUGAGCUGAGCUCUGACCCAUCUCUGGCUAAUCUGUAAAAACAUCAUAGCUGAUACAGAAAAUGAUCAUAAGAAAAAGGGGUUUGAUCAUUCAAGGAAAAUCCAAUUUUCUCGCACAACCUUUGUCAUUGCACUGUAUUUCACCUCAUCAGGAAGGAAAUGAUAAUAUAAUCAAGAUCUAAUCCUUGGAUGUUAUCAUUCUUUACAUAAGCUUUUGAUCUAGAACCAAAAUAGUAGUGAACUUCCAGGGAACCUUCAUUGGGAUAAUUAUCCUUCCUUCUAGUAGAAAUGUUGUAAAAGAAUGUUCAACAUCAGCAAGAACAUGCAAAGAAUCAUAACUGCAUACCUAAUUUGACCCAGUGAGAAAAGGAUAAGAGAUAAGUAGGAACCAAAAUGCAGUGGACCCA